Pelobates cultripes (western spadefoot toad) is the source of this 284-nucleotide non-coding RNA. The record is from the annotation of a GenBank genome assembly. Lineage: Eukaryota; Metazoa; Chordata; Amphibia; Anura; Pelobatidae.
CCGCUGUUUCUAUGUAGAUUUACUUUGACUCAUUUAACACAUUUGGUUGCAGCUCCAUGCUGCAGUGAUAGUCCUACAGACGUACUGGCAUGCGCUACGAUUUGCAAAGGCAUUGCAGUAAUGAUAAGAAGUGUACACAAGCACAGAGAUUGUGCUAUGGUUGUGGAAAUGUUUUGUCUCUGUGCUAUUAAAAAGUGUAAGGAACAAAAUACCUUCUCACAAAAAAAAGCAACACACUAUACGAAUGCAUCUGCAAACAGAGGCAAUAUGUGUUGUAAUAUAUU